ACUUUAUAACCUUAUAACCUUAACGGCCACUGUUUAACCAUAUAACUUAUAACCUUAACGACCACCGUUUAACCUUAAAACCUUAUAAGGUUAACGACCACCGUUUAACCUUAUAGCCUUAACGGCCAUCGUGUAACCCUAUAACCUUAACGGCCACCGUUUAACCCUAUAACCUUAACGGCCACCGUUUAACCUUAUAACCUUAACGGCCACCAUUUAACCUUGUAACCUUAUAAUUUUGAUAGCCACCGUUUAACCUUAUAAUCUUAUAAGGUUAACGACCGUCGUUUAACCUUAUAACCUUAACGGCCACCGUUUAACCUUAUUACCUUAACGGCCACCGUUUAACCUUAUAACCUUAAUGGCUACCGUUUAACCUUAUAACCUUAACGGCCACCGUUUAACCUUAUAACCUUAACGGCCACUAUUUGUUUUGACAGUACAUUAGUUUUCAAUUAGUUCUAUCUAAAUAGAGUAGAAUUAAUGCAAAAGAUUUAUAUAAUCAACCUGAGAUUUGGGAUUUAUGCUUCUGUUUAAUACAUCGGAUUGUUUAAUCCACUCGAAUCAGUAUAGAAUGGAGGAUCUCCAUUAAGAUUUGUGGUUAUCAAUCAGUUUAGUACGAAGGCGAGUUUAUUCAUUGAUUAGUGAAAUUUUAUGGUCUUAGUUCUAUCAAGAUUGGUGCUUUUGUCUAAUAUCUAGUACUAUGAUUAUAUUUCAGGCUUUCCACCACGUUACAGGGACUCUGUUAGGCAUAUCAUACCUGGAUUUCCUCUUUUCUUGUACAACUAAACUCAUUAGCUACCUCCACAAAUCCUGCUUCUAAUUUGUUUCGUUUUGAGACUUGAAUAAUCAUGAAUCAACAAGGGUGUUCGACAAAUCAUCAAAAAACUAAAAACUUUCUUUCAGCUGAAUCACUAGCAGCUCUAUGAAAGCAACAAAUAAUAGAACACAAGAAGAAGAAGAAGAAGAACAAAGGCUACAUAAAUUCAAAGGAAAGGAAUCAAAAGCAAAAGGAGAAGUCAAACAACGUUCCACCUAUAUCUCAAGUACCUGAACAAGUGCAACAGCACCAGUAGAAGAGCAAGUGCGACAAUAAUUUCUAAACUCCACCAUUCGUGCAUCACAACCCACAGUUGAACAAGUGCAGCAGGAUCAGUCACAACUUCCUAAUUUACAAGCAAAUGAACAAUCUAGAGCAG
Molecule: long non-coding RNA, 1199 nt
Organism: Capsicum annuum
Lineage: Eukaryota; Viridiplantae; Streptophyta; Magnoliopsida; Solanales; Solanaceae
Exons: 3
Source: RefSeq, a predicted model, not a curated record